Molecule: ribosomal RNA, 249 nt
Filed under: Triticum aestivum (bread wheat)
Lineage: Eukaryota; Viridiplantae; Streptophyta; Magnoliopsida; Poales; Poaceae
Description: partial small subunit ribosomal RNA
Source: RNAcentral
AUGCGGGACGUCAAUGCCGAAGAGACGAAUGCCAGAGUUGGGGCUUUCUCGCGGAGGAGCGCUGGAGCGCAGGAAUGGCAACUCGGAGAAGGACGCAACGUUGCCAAAGCCAUGAGGCUCCCGCACGCUCUCUGCGCCACCACCGACACCACCUUCACCGCCUCCGCCUCCACCGCCGCCCAUGCAACCAGAACCAGGUGGAUCGAGAAAGGCACAGAAUUUCCUAGGCUAUCUAGCAGCUCUUUGUGA